This 492-nucleotide ribosomal RNA is filed under the name uncultured bacterium. RNAcentral's name for it is "partial 16S ribosomal RNA". It matches the Rfam family "Bacterial small subunit ribosomal RNA", at positions 29 to 507 of the family's 1533-position model. The record is from RNAcentral.
AGUGAACGCUGGCGGUAGGCCUAACACAUGCAAGUCGAACGGCAGCACAGUAAGAGCUUGCUCUUACGGGUGGCGCGUGGCGGACGGGUGAGGAAUACAUCGGAAUCUACUUUUUCGUGGGGGAUAACGUAGGGAAACUUACGCUAAUACCGCAUACGACCUACGGGUGUAAGCAGGGGAUGUUCGGACCUUGCGCGAUUGAAUGAGCCGAUGUCGGAUUAGCUAGUUGGCGGGGCAAAGGCCCACCAAGGCGACGAUCCGUAGCUGGUCUGAGAGGAUGAUCAGCCACACUGGAACUGAGACACGGUCUAGACUCCUACGGGAGGCAGCAGUGGGGAAUAUUGGACAAUGGGCGCAAGCCUGAUCCAGCCAUACCGCGUGGGUGAAGAAGGCCUUCGGGUUGUAAAGCCCUUUUGUUGGGAAAGAAAAGCAGCAGGUUAAUACCCCGCUGUUCUGACGGUACCCAAAGAAUAAGCACCGGCUAACUUCGUG